This 1233-nucleotide ribosomal RNA is filed under the name Henschiella sp. PJ-2015. RNAcentral describes it as "l-rRNA". The stretch from base 992 to 1150 matches the Rfam family "Archaeal large subunit ribosomal RNA", at positions 2544 to 2703 of the family's 2987-position model. Lineage: Eukaryota; Metazoa; Arthropoda; Insecta; Hemiptera; Enicocephalidae. The record is from RNAcentral.
UUAUAAAUAUUUUUUUAUUCUUAUUUAAUUUUAUAUAUAAAAAAUAUUUAUUUUUUUAUUAUUACUUUAGAAAAAAAAUUAAUUUUUUACAGUAAUGGAUUUAGUUUUAAUUUUAUAAGUAUAUUUAAUUUAUAGUACCUUUUGUAUCAGGGUUAAUUAAUUAAUAUAUAUUAAUAAUAUAUUUCUCGAAAUUAAAAGAUUUAUAAUAAUAUAAUAGUUAUUGUUAUAUAAAUAUUAAUAAUAUUAUUAUAGAAGUUAUAUAUUAUUCGAUUUUAAUAUAUCUAGUUAUUUAAUAAAUAAAUUAAAUUUAAAAUAUAUUAAUAUUAAAAUUAUUUAAUUUAUAAUAUUUAAUAUAUUCAAUAUAUUAAGGGAUAAGCUUUAAUUUAAUAUUAAAAAAUUUUAUUUAAUUAAAUUAUAGUAGAUUUAAAAAUUAUCAUCAUUUAUAUUGUUAUAAUAAUAAUUAAAUUAUAAAAUAUUUAUUUAAUUUUUAAUAGUUUAUUAAAUUAUAAAUUAUAAUGAUUAAGAUUUAUUAAUAAUGAUUAAAUAAGUAAUUAUUUAAAUUUAGUUUUAUGAAUUCGGCAAUUAAAAUUUUCAAUUGUUUAACAAAAACAUUUUUUAAAGAUUUAAUUUUAGAUAUAAUCUGCUCAAUGAAUAAUUUUUAAAUAGCUGCAGUAAUUUAACUGUACUAAGGUAGCAUAAUCAUUUGUUUUUUAAUUGGAAACUAGAAUGAAAGAUUUAAUGAAAAAUUAACUUUAUUAAAUUAAAUAAAUUAAUUUAAUUUUUUAGUGAAAAAGCUAAAAUAUUUUUAUAGGACGAGAAGACCCUUUAAAACUUUAUUAUAUUAUUAAUGAUAAUUUAUUUAAUAAUUAAUUAUUAAGCGUAUAAUUAAAUUGGGGUGAUUAGUAAAAAUUAUUAACUUUACUUUAUAUAUUUCAUUAAUUAAUGUAUUUUUUAUCCAAUAAUAUUGAUUAUAAAAAUAAGUUACUUAAGGGAUAACAGCGUAAUUUUAUUAGAGAGUUCAUAUUGAUAAUAAAGUUUGCGACCUCGAUGUUGAAUUAAAAUAAUAUUUAUAUGUAGCAGUAUAAAUUAUAAGUCUGUUCGACUUUUAAUAUUUUACAUGAUUUGAGUUCAAAUCGGCGUAAGCCAGAUUGGUUUCUAUCCUUAAAAUAUAUUAAUAUGUUUGUACGAAAGGACCAUAUAUUAUAAAUAAUUUAUAAAAUAAUUAGUUAUAUA